CCGUAGCUCAGUCGGAUAGAGCGUUGGUCUCCGAAGCCAAAGGUCACGGGUUCGACUCCCGUCGGGC
Molecule: transfer RNA, 67 nt
Filed under: chicken gut metagenome
Rfam family: tRNA
About the family: Transfer RNA (tRNA) molecules are approximately 80 nucleotides in length. Their secondary structure includes four short double-helical elements and three loops (D, anti-codon, and T loops).
Source: RNAcentral